This 1371-nucleotide unclassified non-coding RNA is filed under the name Hevea brasiliensis (rubber tree). The record is from RNAcentral. Lineage: Eukaryota; Viridiplantae; Streptophyta; Magnoliopsida; Malpighiales; Euphorbiaceae.
CCGUCAAACUGAUUUCGGUCCAAAACCUCAAUAUGGCAGAGUAGAAAUACAACAAAACACCAGUGACUCAACCAGGAGCCCAUGAAAGUUACAACCUAAACUUUUUGGGUUCAAUUUAUGUUUUAUAAUCUGGUGAAGUUUGGAUAAAUGAAUCUAAUUCAUAGGACAUAUCAGAGGGACAAGGAUCCAUAAAACACUACUUCAGCUGGGCCAGUCAUAUAUACAUGGUUGUCAUCUUCCCUCCACUCAAUCUCCAAAGGCCCUCCAGGUAAAUCAACUGUGCAUUUCCUCCCAGCACGACCCUCAAGAACAGCAGCAACCACUGUUGCACAGGCUCCAGUUCCACAUGCUAAUGUUGCCCCUGCCCCACGCUCCCAUACGUGCAUUUUAAGGUGUGAAUGGGAGUGAACUUGCACAAAUUCUGUGUUUGUUCGUGCUGGGAACACAUCAUGAUGCUCAAAUUUGGGGCCAAUUUCAACCAAGUUUAAUUUAUCAACCUGCAAAUCCUUGCUUUCUUUGGUCCCAAAUGUUACACAAUGAGGAUUUCCCAUACUAACACAAGUCACAUGCCAGGUUACUCCAUCCACAUUUAGCUCUGAAUGAACAACGGCAUCAUCUUUAUUUGCAGGCAAUUUUGUUGGUACAUCUGAUGCUUUAAGUAUUGGCUCACCCAUAUCAACCCUAACUUUUCCAUCCUCUUGAAUUUCAGGAACAAUUAAACCAGCACCAGUAUGUAUAGUAAAACUCUGCUUCCCUUGUAAAUUUUCUAGCUCAGCAAUGAACCUGGCAAAGCACCGCACCCCAUUACCACACAUCUCUGGCUCACUACCAUCUGAGUUAAAAAUCCUCAUGGUAUAAUCAGUGCCAUUUGUCCCCGGCAUAGCGAAAAUAACUCCAUCAGCACCAAUUCCAAAGUUCCUAUCACAUAGCCUCACUGCUUGCUCCGGAGUAAUCCUAGGCUCAGUAGAAUCCCUAUUAUCGACCAAAAUGAAGUCAUUGCCGAGGCCUUGAUACUUUACAAAGUGGAGGACACCACUUUCUCUGCGAUCAAGAAAAGACGAAGGCGAGACCUUAUCGGUAGCUUCAAUAUUCAUAGCAGAAGAUACCAAUAAGUUAAAGUUAGGGUUUUUGGAAGAAAUGAUUGGAACGAAAGAAUGGGAUUGAAGUGUAGGAAAAGAAAUAGAAGUAGAAGAAGAUGACGAGAGAGAACUGAAACGAUUAAUGGGGGUAAGAGCCUGGCGAAUUGACGGCGUGAACGAGUUAGAGAUGGCAACUGUUGCUGCUACGGCCAUGGCUCUGUCUUCUGUUUGGUGUUGGGUGUUCAAUUUCAAAGUGAGAAUCUAGGUUUUGAUCUGGCGCGGUUUCUGUUAG